This 83-nucleotide transfer RNA is filed under the name Xanthomonas phage X1. Its description in RNAcentral is "tRNA-Asn". It matches the Rfam family "tRNA". From Rfam's summary of the family: Transfer RNA (tRNA) molecules are approximately 80 nucleotides in length. The record is from RNAcentral. Lineage: Duplodnaviria; Heunggongvirae; Uroviricota; Caudoviricetes.
UCUGGACGCGCCUAAUGGGGAGGCACCGGGCUGUUAACCCGGCGAUAGAAAUAUCCGACACGGUUCGAUUCCGUGGUCCAGAG